RNAcentral lists this transfer RNA (71 nucleotides) under Marmota monax (woodchuck). Its description in RNAcentral is "tRNA.Val". Lineage: Eukaryota; Metazoa; Chordata; Mammalia; Rodentia; Sciuridae. The record is from RNAcentral.
GGGAUACAGCUCAGUUGGUAGAGUGCUUGCCGCACAUGCACAAGGCCCUGGGUUCAAUCCCCAGCAUCACA